GAUGAACGCUGGCGGCGUGCCUAAUACAUGCAAGUCGAGCGAACAGACGAGGAGCUUGCUCCUUUGACGUUAGCGGCGGACGGGUGAGUAACACGUGGGUAACCUACCUAUAAGACUGGGAUAACUUCGGGAAACCGGCGCUAAUACCGGAUAAUAUUUCGAACCGCAUGGUUCGAUAGUGAAAGAUGGCUCUGCUAUCACUUAUAGAUGGACCUCGGCCGUAUUAGCUAGUUGGUAAGGUAACGGCUUACCAAGGCAACGAGACGUAGCCGACCUGAGAGGGUGAUCGCCCACACGGGAACUGAGACGCGGUCCAGACUCCUACGGGAGGCAGCAGUAGGGAACGUGCCGCAAUGGGCGAAAGCCUGACGGAGCAACGCCGCGUGAGUGAUGAAGGUCUUCGGAUCGUAAAACUCUGUUAUUAGGGAAGAACAAACGUGUAAGUAACUGUGCACGUCUUGACGGUACCUAAUCAGAAAGCCACGGCUAACUACGUG
Molecule: ribosomal RNA, 497 nt
Filed under: uncultured bacterium
Lineage: Bacteria
Description: partial 16S ribosomal RNA
Rfam family: Bacterial small subunit ribosomal RNA
Source: RNAcentral